UUUUGGCGAUCUGGUUGUCUUUUUAUCCCUCCUCUCUGAGACGCUGCGCUGUUCAAAGAAACUUGACUUUGAGACCCUUCCAACCUACGUACUUCGCCAUCGAUAUUUGUUUGACGACCAGAGCUUCGGCGUCUUUCCAGACGCUCACGACGAUCUUUUCCUUCAAAUUCGACCCAAGUCCGCACUGCUUGCAGUGCAAAUACAAUUGCCAACGGAAGGAAAUCGUU
Regulatory RNA element from Agrobacterium tumefaciens, 227 nucleotides. It matches the Rfam family "C1_109596F 5' UTR thermometer". From Rfam's summary of the family: May regulate translation of the major cold shock protein cspA. The record is from Rfam. Lineage: Bacteria; Pseudomonadati; Pseudomonadota; Alphaproteobacteria; Hyphomicrobiales; Rhizobiaceae.